CGAUGGACAAUCGGUUAAUAUUCCGAUACCGCCGAGCAACCGGAUGCAGUGACACAGAAGGAUAGGCAGAGCGUGGCGAUGGUAGACCACGUCCAAGCAGUGAGGCUGUUGUGUAGUGAAGUACGCACAACGUAAGGCUGGGCUGUGAUGGGGAACGAUUACGAUCGGUAAGCUGCUGAAUUCACGCUGGCGAGAAAAGCUGCUACGAAGCGAAGGCGCCCGUACCGCAAACCGACACAGGUAGGCGAGGAGAGAAUCCUAAGACGAGCGGGAGAACCCUUGUUAAGGAACUCGGCAAAAUGACUCCGUAACUUAGGGAGAAGGAGUGCCCAGGAAUGGGCCGCAGAGAAUAGACCCAAGCGACUGUUUACCAAAAACACAGGUCUGUGCGAAGUAGAGAUACGACGUAUACGGGCUGACACCUGCCCAGUGCCGGAAGGUUAAGGGGAAAUGUUAGGGCAACCGAAGCAUGGAACUUAAGCCCCGGUGAACGGCGGCCGUAACUAUAACGGUCCUAAGGUAGCGAAAUUCCUUGUCGGGUAAGUUCCGACCCGCACGAAUGGUGUAACGAUUUGGGUACUGUCUCAACAAGGGACCCGGCGAAAUUGUAGUAUGUGUGAAGAUGCACAUUACCCGCGAUAGGACGGAAAGACCCCGUAGAGCUUUACUGUAGUUUAACAUUGGAUUCCGGUAACAUAUGCACAGGAUAGGUGGGAGGCGGAGAAGCAGUGAUUUCGGUUGCUGCAGAGCCGACGUUGGGAUACCACUCUUGUGUUACUGGGGUUCUAACCUGUGGCCGUGAUCCGGCACAGGAACAGUGUUAGAUGGGCAGUUUGACUGGGGCGGUCGCCUCCAAAAGAGUAACGGAGGCGUCCAAAGGUUCCCUCAGAAUGGUUGGAAACCAUUCGAAGAGUACAAAGGCAGAAGGGAGCCUGACUGCGAGACCGACAGGUCGAGCAGGGACGAAAGUCGGGCUUAGUGAUCCGGCGGUAUAGAGUGGAAUUGCCGUCGCUCAACGGAUAAAAGCUACCUCGGGGAUAACAGGCUUAUCUCCCCCAAGAGUCCACAUCGACGGGGAGGUUUGGCACCUCGAUGUCGGCUCGUCGCAUCCUGGGGCUGGAUUAGGUCCCAAGGGUUUGGCUGUUCGCCAAUUAAAGCGGCACGCGAGCUGGGUUCAGAACGUCGUGAGACAGUUCGGUCCCUAUCCAUCGUGGGCGCAGGAGAUUUGAGAAGAGCUGUCCUCAGUACGAGAGGACCGGGAUGGACGCACCAAGGGUGUAUCAGUUGUCACGCCAGUGGCACAGCUGGGUAGCCAAGUGCGGAUCGGAUAAACGCUGAAGGCAUCUAAGCGUGAAGCCGACUUCAAGAUAAGAUCUCCCAUCCGCAAGGAGUAAGGCCCCAUGUAGACCACAUGGUUGAUAGGUCGCAGGUGGAAGUGCAGUAAUGUACGCAGCUGAGCGAUACUAAUAGGCCGAGGGCUUGAUCAA
This 1487-nucleotide ribosomal RNA is filed under the name human gut metagenome. Its description in RNAcentral is "bacterial LSU rRNA". It matches the Rfam family "Bacterial large subunit ribosomal RNA", at positions 1416 to 2925 of the family's 2925-position model. The record is from RNAcentral.